Molecule: transfer RNA, 91 nt
Filed under: Pararhodospirillum photometricum DSM 122
Lineage: Bacteria; Pseudomonadati; Pseudomonadota; Alphaproteobacteria; Rhodospirillales; Rhodospirillaceae
Description: tRNA-Ser (GGA) (tRNA-Ser-GGA-1-1)
Rfam family: tRNA
About the family: Transfer RNA (tRNA) molecules are approximately 80 nucleotides in length. Their secondary structure includes four short double-helical elements and three loops (D, anti-codon, and T loops).
Source: RNAcentral
GGAGGGAUGGCCGAGCGGUCGAAGGCGCACGCCUGGAAAGUGUGUAUACGCCAAAAGCGUAUCGUGGGUUCGAAUCCCACUCCCUCCGCCA